Long non-coding RNA from Gopherus flavomarginatus (Mexican gopher tortoise), 7097 nucleotides. RefSeq lists it as uncharacterized. The record is from RefSeq and is a predicted model, not a curated record. The transcript is spliced from 5 exons. Lineage: Eukaryota; Metazoa; Chordata; Testudines; Testudinidae.
GGAUGAUGCAACGGAACGGGGAUCUUUCGCCGGGCCGUGCGUAGAGGAAACCCGGCGGCCGAUUGCAUCAGCUUUAAGGACGUGGAGUGACAACCUGGCAGAGGUCAACCCUCAGAAGACGGGACCUGUGUCACCUGUUUGCAAAAUUAGAUGUGGUACCCAUUAAGAUAGUUGCAGAAGCUGAGGGCCUGUGGUACAGCAGACCUAUCCAUCUGAGGACGCCUAGGCCUACCCUGUAUGCUUUAAGCCCUGAGAUAAAUAUCUCCAUUCUAUCCUACUGAACAUGUUCUUCACAUCUGGAAAAGUGGAGAUGGCCGUGUAAUUGGAAAGUCCACUCUCCUAAUCCUGAGCUGUACAGAGCACUGGCAAUUCCAAUGUGAGCUACAGGUGCUGAUCAGGCCCAAAACGAGAGGUUUCUAAAUGAGAGCUGCAUUUCUCACCGAGAAAAGAACAAGUGGAAGAGACAGACUAGUGUGAGCAUGCAUUUCUCUGUCCAUAUGCAGAUGUUUUGCCAUAUUGGCAAUAUUUUGAGUUCCAUGGUAAGUACAUAUUGACAAUUGGCAAAGUCUCGGUGGGCCCAAGUUGGGAGGAGAUUGAAGAAAUCAAGGCUUUGCUGUGAUCUGCAGCAAGAACAUGCUCCUUCUCUGUGCAGAGAAAGUACUAUUGGGGGAUUCUGCAUCUUAUGUUUCACAACAGCAGAUGAUCAUUGUUGGCCAGAUUGAGAGCCCCUUACUUGCAAUGAUAAGCAGUUGUUCACAUGAGGAGUCCUGUUGUAACGAUUUGUAUAGGUAGCUGUUCAUCAGUAUUCAGGGUUUACAUUCUGGCCCUGUGUGUUUCCCAACAGAGGUUGUGAGAUGACAAGAGUCUUAUCUUAUUUAAGUGGAAGCAAGAAAUGAACCUUGGAACGUGGCAGGCAGGAGGCUGGAGCUGUCACUUAGCUCUCCUUGUUCUCCAGCCUGGUCACAGACAUGCAAGACUCUAACCCAGCAAUGGAUGAUUAAUUGCUGGACAUAGCGAAGUCUAGGUGCUCGUCAGAAGGGCUACAAACUGGAGAACAGGUUAGUUUUGCGGACAAGUCUUCCAGACAAGUCUUCCAUUGUCCAGGGCUGGCUCCAGCUUUUUGCCGCCCCAAGCGGUGAAGAAAAAAAAUUAAAACAAACAAACAAACGAUUGAGCAGCUGCUGAAGUGCCGACGACGUGUGAAGAGAAGGAGAGUGAAGGACCCAAAGCCAUACUGCCGACGAAGAAUCAGACGUGCCACCCCAACAACAGUGGAAUGCCACCCCUUUCUAUUGGCCGCCCCAGAGACCUGCUUCCUUCGCUGGUACCUAGAUCUGGCCCUGCCAUUGUUAGACUAUCUGGCACCAAAGUGCCCUUGCAGUUCUCCUCUCCAUGCUGAUGGGUGUAUGAGUGUGGGCAAUGGAGGCAUAAGAGAAAAAAUGUUCAUUUAUUUGCAAAGUCUCCUAUCCUAGAUUUUACCUGCCACAGUCUGUUUAACUUCAGCUGAGAUCAUUAACUGGCUGUGUUUAAUCAUUAAGCAGUUAAUAUUAACCUCUAAGUGAAGCAAAAGCCUCCAAUAUCAGCCCAGGUUAGGAGUAAUGAUCUUAAGUGAAGCAGAGGGAAUGUUAAAGUCCAGUUUGGUGCUCGGAAAUUAUAAAUUAGAGCAUUACAUAGGCCAACUGUACCAAUACAGGCAAGCCAUGCCUCAGUUUCCCAUACAGGCCCCAGGGCUGAUGAAGUUGCUCAUCUUCUCCACCAGGGUUCAGACCAACAGUCACCACCUCCUCCCCACCUUGGAAAAGAAUAUUGUCCCUCUCAGAGUUCAUUGAAGCCCUGGCAUAAUUUUAAUACAAGUAACAACAUUCUCCAGCCCCCAAAGUAAGACAGGUUAAAAUGAAGCAAGUCUCCAUCCUCACUGUAGGCUGCCUACCGAAAAGUCAGCCUCAGCACCUAUUUCAUUUCUCAGUUCCUUUUCCCUUUUCCAGGGCCCCACCCUUCAGGCCAUGUACAUCACUGUUAACAGGCCUCUUCUUCAAGCCCUGUACAUCUAUUCCAGUGUCUCCACACCUCGGCCACCUUCAUGCUUGUUGCAACUUUUCUCCUCCACAGCCCUUAACUCAGGGCUUCUGCAGGCUGGCUCCCUGCAGCGUGCCACUCCCCAGACCCCCUUCACCAACACCUACAAAUCUUACCUCUGCUGAGCAUUGUCUCAUGGUAACCUCCCUCCAGAAUCAAUCUUCCUUUACUAGGCUCAGCCUAUCCUGACUGAGCUGGGUCUUCCACUUUGCUUACUGGCCUCUGUCUGAGCUGUCAACACAGCACAUUCCCCAACUCUGGCCAGUCCUUAGCCAAUGCAAAGAGCGUGCUGUGGGUAUCUGCACCAGCAAUUCUCAAGACUGCUCUCUCAAGUCUCACAUAGCUCCCUGCCACGCCUUCCUACCACCUCCCCCCCAACACACACACACUUUUUUUCUUUUCCUGGUGGAGCAGAUUUGACUGGAUAGUCUAUUGUCACCACCAGUUAUACCUCUUAACCACAUAGCAGUUUAUAUUCUCUCAUUGUGCUAAGAGGAGAGAUAUGUGUGCAGGAAUAAAUCAAAUGGGUGCCGAGGAGCCAAUCUGGAAAAAGACUAGGGGAUCUGGCCUCUUCUCUGUGCAUGUGUAAAUGGCGAUGGCUAUUAGCAUUAGUGAUACUAAUGCUUAUAUGUUCAUACUGCAGGGAGAGCAGACCUCCAAGCUAAAGCACAUGGAUGUUAUAGAUGCCAAGAUAAACAGACAGGUGCAAAGGGGAGAUAUGAGGACAAUGAUGUCAUGGAGUGUUGAGGAGAUGGAUGCACAUACAGGGAUAAAGCAGAAGGGGAUAAAGGAGAUGGAAAACUAGAAAUCUGGCAGUUUAUUAUUGCCAGUCAGACAGCUAGUGGAAAGGAAUGUCAUUGAUAUGUUAACAGUGGAAGAAUUAAAACACAUCCUAUCCCAGGCUCACUGACAUUUAAGAAGGAGAAAAAGACAAUUGUAGAUUUAGGUUUUGUGGCCUGAAACUGGUUUUGUCAGGCUAUAGAGAAAUAAAGACCUGUUUUAUAUUUAGCAGUAAACACAUUGCUCCCUCAGGGCAAACAUUCUGUGUGUUAGUCUCAGAUGACUGAUGCAUAAGUACCAACACUGGUUAGGAUUCAGUGCAGCUGUGAAUCACUGCAGAGCAAGAGAACCACAAACAGGUUUGGUAUGAUGUACAGGAACAGAUUGUAACAGAAAUAGUUAUCUUCAGCUCAAAUUUCAGGUCUGUAAAAACAUAUCUCGACAAGCCAUGGAUGUGCAAGGAUUGGAAGAUGUGUUCUUGUUAUUAAGAAAGGGACUGUACUGUACAGAAAUCACUAACAGUGAGAUAACACAGGGAGUCCUAGGACAGGAGGAACAUUGGCCCAUUUCCAUCCACCCUGCUUGGCAUUGCUUUCCGUUCUCUGCAGGGAAAAGAGGAGAGAAUUUCAACAUACAUUUACUUCUCUCCCCUCCGGCUUCAGUGACUACGCUCAGUUUGGAAGUGACUCACAGAUUCAUACAAACGUAGGGCUGGAAGGGACUUUGAAAGGUUCCACCAGUGCUUCAUGCACUGGGCCAGAGCUGCAAGUGAUAUAAAUUGGCAUCGCUUUGUUGAUUACGGUGGAGCUACAUUGAUUUCCACCAGCCAAGGAGCUGGCUCACUGUCUCUAGUGAGACUGACUCAGUGCAAUUCUUACGGCAGCAACAAAUGCUCUUCAGACCUGAAUAUGGACAGGACAAAGACAAAUUGCUAUGAACCAUCUGCAUUUGGUUAGCUUAAACAAACCAAGUGGGAAAGAUAUUACCACAGCUUCUGAAUAAAGGAUUGGAUGAUAUAAGAUGAAGUGGGGAAGGGUGGGGCACGGUGGCUACAUCCAAAGGGAUUAGACGUUCAUUGGGAAUUUUGACUCAGGUGUACAAAUACAUUUGAAUCAAUGUUAUUCUGUCCUGAAGGGGGGGACAAUAAAAAGAAAGGGCAAAGGUUCACUGGUGACAUCCCAGUGUCUUUUUCUAAACCAACUGUAGCGACUGUAGUGCUAGUGUAACAUGCUGAUUGACAGCUCCAGUGACCAAUGCCCUAAACAGUGAGGCAGGCUUCCCAUGCUGUCCUGGGACUGUGGUUCCAUCUUCAUGAUGCCUUGUGUACUGUCGGCUCUCUACAAAUAAUGAAUUAUUAAUAACUUGGGGGAAUCCACCCAUAAGAGUGAGAGGGAAGUUCAGACUGCUGACGCAGCCAACCCCGAGUCUGUUUACUGAUACUGGUACCAGUAAGUGCCAGCUGAGUGUGUAGUUUUUGUGAUAUUGAGUGUCAAUCCAAGAAGUGGACUGAGACCAACUCAUUGCACAUAGAUCACAUGACUCGCCUUCAGCUAGUAAUUAAUUUUAAUCACCUCUAACCUAACCUGAAACUGACUGGUGAUCUCAUAAUGAAAAACUCCAUGUAAUCUAUUAGCAAUCCCUUGUAUGAAAGAGUCUCUGACAUCUCAGUGUUUUACCUGGAAAUCAUCUAAAGAAACCAGUUCUCUUGGAGGUUGUUUGCUUCUAUACAAAAGAAUGUCCCAAUUGUUGUACGUUUUCCACAAUUUUCUCCCCCCCUCACACCCAGGAAUCAAUGCAGUUUCAGCACUGCUUCUAUAGGCCAUGGACUACCUGGACAUGCCAGUGUUGCUCUGGCCACAUAGUGAUAGUUACUCUGUCUUGGAACUGUUAUUUCUCAGUCAGCCAGACCACAUCUCUGUCCUAGUGCUUACUGUAUCCGACUGAUCAUCUCUUCCAGGCACUGAUCCUGUCCUGGCACUCUCAGAGGGCUUAUCUAUAUGGGUUUGAGCAGUUCUAGAGAUCACAAGUUCUCUGAAUGAAAAGGGGAACUUGUGCUUUAUAUUUUUUCACCCUACAGUUCCUGAGUGUAAUUUCUUCAUAAUGAACUGAAGAUCUGGUUGAUUUUGAAGUGAUUUGUCUUAGUUAAUUUAAAGAAGGCCACAUGUUGACUUAUUAGAAUGCUCCAUUCCAGUAAUAUCACGAAAACAAACUGGCCUGUAUGGGCAAUUAGAUAAUAGGCCAGAUCCUCAGCUGGUAUAAAUUGUCCUAGCUCCAUUGACUUCAGUGAAGAUAUGUCAGUUUACACCAGCUGAGGAGCUGGUGCAACAUGUCCACAAUUACUUCUGCUCUUAGAGCCACAGAACAUUUCUCAUGACAGAUAUUAGAUCUUCUAAGCCAAGGGUUCUCAAACUUCAUUGUACUGCAACCCCAUUCUGACAAUAAAAGUUACUACACAACCCCAGGACAGGAGAACGAAGCCUGAGCCCCACUCAAUGGGGGGCAGGAGGGAAUGUGUGGAAAAGCUGAAGCCCAAGGGCUUCAGCCCCAGGCAGGGGGCCUGUAACCUGAGUUCCAACAUGAAGGGCUGAAACCCUCAGGCUUUGGCCUCGGGCGGUGGGGCUCAGGCUUCGGCCCUAGGCCCCAGCAAGUCUAAGCUAGCCCUGGCGACCCCAUUACAAUGGCUCAUGACACACUUUGGAGACCUGACCCAUAGUUUGAGAACCACUGUUCUAACCCAUAAAGAAAUAGGACUUUAUGUCUCAAUCUCAGUAGAAAUUCUGUCAGCGAUCAGGAGGACAUUAGAUUCAACCUAGUGGGCACAAGCUUAGACUACAGGAGCUUUUUAUUAAGAGCACAAAUUGCAAAGCUUCAUUAAAGAGAAAGAGAGUCAAGAGAAUGUGAACUCUAAUAAAAGAGAAAAUUGAAAUACUUCCUAAAUCCACUGUCUAUGACAAAGAAAACCAAAAAUGAUUUAGUAAGAGCCAGCAUCUUAAAACAUCAUUAUGGAUCUGUCACAGGGUGAGAUGGGCUUUUAUAGCACUCAUGUCCUAGCUUUGACCUAUGCUUUGCAGUCCCUUCCAAGACCAUGUGACUGUGAACCAGGAGCAAGGCCUUUGAAGAAAGCAAGUUAAAAGUCAGGUCCUACCUCUCAGUAAUGAAGAUAGCUCAAAGGGGCUCUCCAGCCACCAGGUGUAAGGAAGUGUUGACUGAUUUUUAAUCUGGCCAAGAAAUCAGCCUAGAUUCUCCUCCGUAUCCGACAUCUGUCAUUGGGUUGUUAGCCCCCAAGAAAACUUACAAGGUUAAGAUAUAGAUAAAACUGUUAUUUUAUGUUUAACACAACAGUUAAAACAGUAAUAGAGGAAUAAAUACUAAAGACUUCCUCUAUGACUAUAGAGGACCAAAUAUAAACACAGCUAUGGCUGUAACAACAAGGGGCUUAAAGCCCUGACCCAAAACUAUAUAGAGGACAGGUGAUAGGAGCCUAGAUGUCUCUUUACCAUGUCUUGCAGGUUGGUUACAGACACCCACCGACACGAUAGGACAGAGCACUAAAUGCAGGCAGUGACAGCAGGCUCCUGAGGCUGGGACCUCCAGACAGGUAAGUUGACAACUCUGUUCUUCUCUUCAUAGACCUUCCACCCUGUGCCGUCAUGUGUCCAUGAGUGAACUGGAACCAAAUGGCAGCAGAUGGAUGGGUAUCCUCACAUAGAGGUACUCUAAUGAGUGCAUCUGGGCCCCAGCUGAGCUGCCUGAUUGGCCUAACCCUCCGAUUGGCUGAGGGGAUCAGCAGACUUGUUCUGAAGGCUGCAACAGGUAUUAGAGCUUCUAAACCAUAAUGAGAGAGGUGCUGAGACAUUAACAGCUGCAGUAAUCACAGAUGGGUUGUCUGUGAGUCUCCAAGUUUGUUCUUGUGAUGUUGUUGAAGGGGAACUUUGUCUUCAAGUAAGUCAACAUGUGUCUUCCUUAAGUUAAACUAAUGUGAACCACUCCAAAAUCAAUUCUCUUUAGUUUAUUAUGAAGAAAUGCCCCUCACAGGCAGUGUGGAAUGAGGAAAUAGAAAGCACAAGUUCCCAUUUGUGCUCACAAAUGCCACAGCUGCAAUGUCUUUAAAAGCACAUCCGUUUUAUUUCAAUAUAAACAGAACGAAGCACUUCUUGUCAGUGUCACGGGGUUGGCAGUGGAUCUCGUUGCAUCUUCUAUGUGGUUCCCAGCCUGGUAAAUAAAACUUCUAUGAAACUUCA